This 496-nucleotide ribosomal RNA is filed under the name uncultured bacterium. RNAcentral's name for it is "partial 16S ribosomal RNA". It matches the Rfam family "Bacterial small subunit ribosomal RNA", at positions 28 to 506 of the family's 1533-position model. The record is from RNAcentral.
GAUGAACGCUGGCGGCGUGCCUAAUACAUGCAAGUCGAGCGAACAGACGAGGAGCUUGCUCCUCUGACGUUAGCGGCGGACGGGUGAGUAACACGUGGAUAACCUACCUAUAAGACUGGGAUAACUUCGGGAAACCGGAGCUAAUACCGGAUAAUAUAUUGAACCGCAUGGUUCAAUAGUGAAAGACGGUUUUGCUGUCACUUAUAGAUGGAUCCGCGCCGCAUUAGCUAGUUGGUAAGGUAACGGCUUACCAAGGCAACGAUGCGUAGCCGACCUGAGAGGGUGAUCGGCCACACUGGAACUGAGACACGGUCCAGACUCCGACGGGAGGCAGCAAUAGGGAAUCUUCCGCUAUGGGCGAAAGCCUGACGGAGCAACGCCGCGUGAGUGAUGAAGGUCUUCGGAUCGUAAAACUCUGUUAUUAGGGAAGAACAAAUGUGUAAGUAACUAUGCACGUCUGGACGGUACCUAAUCAGAAAGCCACGGCUAACUACGU